AGGUCUGUUGUCAGUGAUGGAUUCUUGACGGAACUGAAUAUAAAUGAUUUGACCCAACGUUUCAUCGCUACCACUGAGACAACAGACUG
Small nucleolar RNA from Struthio camelus australis, 89 nucleotides. The record is from Ensembl. Lineage: Eukaryota; Metazoa; Chordata; Aves; Struthioniformes; Struthionidae.